GUGUCAGCAGCCGCGGUAAUACAGAGGUGGCGAGCGUUGUUCGGAUUUACUGGGCGUAAAGGGUGCGUAGGCGGUUCUGUGUGUCGGAUGUGAAAUCUCACUGAAAACGGUGAAACGGCAUUCGAAACUACAGGGCUGGAGUGCAGGAGAGGAUGGCGGAAUUCUCGGUGUAGCGGUGAAAUGCGUUGAUAUCGAGAGGAACGCCGGUGGCGAAGGCGGCCAUCUGGACUGCAACUGACGCUGAGGCACGAAAGCUAGGGGAGCAAACAGGAUUAGAUACCCGUGUAGUCC
This 291-nucleotide ribosomal RNA is filed under the name uncultured bacterium. Its description in RNAcentral is "partial 16S ribosomal RNA". It matches the Rfam family "Bacterial small subunit ribosomal RNA", at positions 505 to 796 of the family's 1533-position model. The record is from RNAcentral.